This 676-nucleotide ribosomal RNA is filed under the name Staphylococcus pseudintermedius. RNAcentral describes it as "partial 23S ribosomal RNA". It matches the Rfam family "Bacterial large subunit ribosomal RNA", at positions 380 to 1057 of the family's 2925-position model. The record is from RNAcentral. Lineage: Bacteria; Bacillati; Bacillota; Bacilli; Caryophanales; Staphylococcaceae.
CGAAAACGAAUUCUCUCUUGAGUGGAUCCUGAGUACGACGGAGCACGUGAAAUUCCGUCGGAAUCUGGGAGGACCAUCUCCUAAGGCUAAAUACUCUCUAGUGACCGAUAGUGAACCAGUACCGUGAGGGAAAGGUGAAAAGUACCCCGGAAGGGGAGUGAAAGAGAACUUGAAACCGUGUGCUUACAAGUAGUCAGAGCCCGUUAAUGGGUGAUGGCGUGCCUUUUGUAGAAUGAACCGGCGAGUUACGAUCUGAUGCAAGGUUAAGCAGAAAAUGUGGAGCCGUAGCGAAAGCGAGUCUGAAUAGGGCGAAUGAGUAUUUGGUCGUAGACCCGAAACCAGGUGAUCUACCCUUGGUCAGGUUGAAGUUCAGGUAACACUGAAUGGAGGACCGAACCGACUUACGUUGAAAAGUGAGCGGAUGAACUGAGGGUAGCGGAGAAAUUCCAAUCGAACUUGGAGAUAGCUGGUUCUCUCCGAAAUAGCUUUAGGGCUAGCCUCAAGUGAUGAUUAUUGGAGGUAGAGCACUGUUUGGACGAGGGGCCCCUCUCGGGUUACCGAAUUCAGACAAACUCCGAAUGCCAAAUAAUUUAACUUGGGAGUCAGAAUGUGGGUGAUAAGGUCCAUAUUCGAAAGGGAAACAGCCCAGACCACCAGCUAAGGUCCCAAAAUAUAU